UACUGCAUCAGGAACUGAUUGGC
This 23-nucleotide microRNA is filed under the name Gadus morhua (Atlantic cod). Its description in RNAcentral is "Gmo-Mir-217_5p (mature (guide))". The record is from RNAcentral. Lineage: Eukaryota; Metazoa; Chordata; Actinopteri; Gadiformes; Gadidae. RNAcentral also lists the same sequence under 3 other names.